RNAcentral lists this ribosomal RNA (469 nucleotides) under Pseudomonas sp. MR-R8. Its description in RNAcentral is "bacterial SSU rRNA". It matches the Rfam family "Bacterial small subunit ribosomal RNA", at positions 30 to 494 of the family's 1533-position model. The record is from RNAcentral. Lineage: Bacteria; Pseudomonadati; Pseudomonadota; Gammaproteobacteria; Pseudomonadales; Pseudomonadaceae.
AUUGAACGCUGGCGGCAGGCCUAACACAUGCAAGUCGAGCGGUAGAGAGAAGCUUGCUUCUCUUGAGAGCGGCGGACGGGUGAGUAAUGCCUAGGAAUCUGCCUGGUAGUGGGGGAUAACGUUCGGAAACGGACGCUAAUACGCAUACGUCCUACGGGAGAAAGCAGGGGACCUUCGGGCCUUGCGCUAUCAGAUGAGCCUAGGUCGGAUUAGCUAGUUGGUGAGGUAAUGGCUCACCAAGGCGACGAUCCGUAACUGGUCUGAGAGGAUGAUCAGUCACACUGGAACUGAGACACGGUCCAGACUCCUACGGGAGGCAGCAGUGGGGAAUAUUGGACAAUUGGCGAAAGCCUGAUCCAGCCAUGCCGCGUGUGUGAAGAAGGUCUUCGGAUUGAAAGCACUUUAAGUUGGGAGGAAGGGUACUUACCUAAUACGUGAGUAUUUUGACGUUACCGACAGAAUAAGCACC